RNAcentral lists this ribosomal RNA (419 nucleotides) under Lacticaseibacillus rhamnosus. RNAcentral's name for it is "bacterial SSU rRNA". It matches the Rfam family "Bacterial small subunit ribosomal RNA", at positions 52 to 442 of the family's 1533-position model. Lineage: Bacteria; Bacillati; Bacillota; Bacilli; Lactobacillales; Lactobacillaceae. The record is from RNAcentral.
AACAUGCAAGUCAACGAGUUCUGUUUUGAAAGGUGCUUGCAUCUUGAUUUAAUUUUGAACGAGUGGCGGACGGGUGAGUAACACGUGGGUAACCUGCCCUUAAGUGGGGGAUAACAUUUGGAAACAGAUGCUAAUACCGCAUAAAUCCAAGAACCGCAUGGUUCUUGGCUGAAAGAUGGCGUAAGCUAUCGCUUUUGGAUGGACCCGCGGCGUAUUAGCUAGUUGGUGAGGUAACGGCUCACCAAGGCAAUGAUACGUAGCCGAACUGAGAGGUUGAUCGGCCACAUUGGGACUGAGACACGGCCCAAACUCCUACGGGAGGCAGCAGUAGGGAAUCUUCCACAAUGGACGCAAGUCUGAUGGAGCAACGCCGCGUGAGUGAAAAAAGGCUUUCCGGGUCCUAAAAACUCUGUUUGUUU